UCUGGCGGCAGUAGCGCGGUGGUCCCACCUGACCCCAUGCCGAACUCAGAAGUGAAACGCCGUAGCGCCGAUGGUAGUGUGGGGUCUCCCCAUGCGAGAGUAGGGAAAUGCCAGAC
RNAcentral lists this ribosomal RNA (116 nucleotides) under Escherichia coli. RNAcentral also lists the same sequence under 1 other name. The record is from RNAcentral. Lineage: Bacteria; Pseudomonadati; Pseudomonadota; Gammaproteobacteria; Enterobacterales; Enterobacteriaceae.